CUCCAGCUCGCUCCUCGCCUCCUCCUCCUCCUCCUCCCCUGCUUCUGCUUCAGAGGGACACGACAACAACACGAGCCUAGAGCAGAGCAAGAGCCGAGAGCCACCCUCAGCGAAGAGGAGAGGUGUGCUUGGAUUGCCGCUCCAUUGCUGAAUAAUAUAUACUCUGCUAGUGGUAGUUUUUUAUUGAUUUUAGCCGGGAGGGGAUAAAAGAUGUCGUCGCUGGUGUCCGCGCCGUUCGCCACGGCCACCGGGGCGCAGAAGAAGGCGCGCGGGCCGCGGCCCGCGCCGCUGCACUCCUUCCUGCUCACCGGCCGGCGGGGGCGGCGCGCGACGAUACGGUGCGCCGUGGCCGGGAACGGGCUGUUCACGCAGACCAACCCGGACGUGCGCCGCGUGGUUCCCGCCGAGCGCGGCCUGCCGCGGGUCAAGGUGGUCUACGUCGUGCUGGAGGCGCAGUACCAGUCCUCCGUCACCGCCGCCGUGAUGCAGCUCAACGCCGACCCGCGCCGCGCCGCCGAGUUCGAGGUGGUGGGCUACCUGGUGGAGGAGCUGCGGGACGCGGACACGUACGCCGCCUUCUGCNNNNNNNNNNNNNNNNNNNNNNNNNNNNNNNNNNNNNNNNNNNNNNNNNNNNNNNNNNNNNNNNNNNNNNNNNNNNNNNNNNNNNNNNNNNNNNNNNNNNUGUUGGGGAACGUCGCAUGGGAAACAAAAAUUUUCCUACGCGCACGAAGACCUAUCAUGGUGAUGUCCAUCUACGAGAGGGGAUGAGUGAUCUACGUACCCUUGUAGACCGUACAGCAGAAGCUUUAGAGAACGCGGUUGAUGUAGUGGAACGUCCUCACGUCCCUCGAUCCGCCCCGCGAACAAUCCCGCGAUCAGUCCCACGAUCUAGUACCGAACGGACGGCACCUCCGCGUUCAGCACACGUACAGCUCGACGAUGAUCUCGGCCUUCUUGAUCCAGCAAGAGAGACGGAGAGGUAGAAGAGUUCUCCGGCAGCGUGACGGCGCUCCGGAGGUUGGUGAUGACCUCGUCUCAGCACGGCUCCGCCCGAGCUCCGCAGAAACACGAUCUAGAGGAAAAACCGUGGAGGUAUGUGGUCGGGCUGCCGUGGAAAAAUCGUCUCAAAUCAGCCCUACAACCUCCGUAUAUAUAGGUGGGAGGGAGGGGACCUUGCCUUGGGGCUCAAGGAGCCCCAAGGGGGUCGGCCGAGUCCAAGGGGGAGGACUCUCCCCCCCAAACCGAGUUGGACUAGGUUUGGUGGGAGGGAGUCCCCCUUCCUUCCCAUCUCCUCUUUUUUUUUCUUUCUCUCUUGAUUUUCUUCUCCUUGGCGCAUAGGGCACUUGUGGGUUGUCUCACCAGCCCACUAAGGGCUGGUGUGUCUCCCCCAAGUCCUAUGGGCUUCCCCGGGGUGGGUUGCCCCCCCCGGUGAACUCCCGGAACCCAUUCGUCAUUCCCGGUAACUCCGAAAACCUUCCGGUAAUCAAAUGAGGUCAUCCUAUAUAUCAAUCUUCGUUUCCGGACCAUUCCGGAAACCCUCGUAACGUCCGUGAUCUCAUCCGGGACUCCGAACAACAUUCGGUAACCAACCAUAUAACUCAAAUACGCAUAAAACAACGUCGAACCUUAAGUGUGCAGACCCUGCGGGUUCGAGAACUAUGUAGACAUGACCCGAGAGACUCCUCGGUCAAUAUCCAAUAGCGGGACUUGGAUGCCCAUAUUGGAUCCUACAUAUUCUACGAAGAUCUUAUCGUUUGAACCUCAGUGUCAAGGAUUCAUAUAAUCCCGUAUGUCAUUCCCUUUGUCCUUCGGUAUGUUACUUGCCCGAGAUUCGAUCGUCAGUAUCCGCAUACCUAUUUCAAUCUCGUUUAGCGGCAAGUCUCUUUACUCGUUCCGUAAUACAAGAUCCCGCAACGUACACUAAGUUACAUUGCUUGCAAGGCUUGUGUGUGAUGUUGUAUUACCGAGUGGGCCCCGAGAUACCUCUCCGUCACACGGAGUGACAAAUCCCAGUCUUGAUCCAUACUAACUCAACUAACACCUUCGGAGAUACCUGUAGAGCAUCUUUAUAGUCACCCAGUUACGUUGCGAUGUUUGAUACACACAAAGCAUUCCUCCGGUGUCAGUGAGUUAUAUGAUCUCAUGGUCAUAGGAAUAAAUACUUGACACGCAGAAAACAGUAGCAACAAAAUGACACGAUAAACAUGCUACAUCUAUUAGUUUGGGUCUAGUCCAUCACGUGAUUCUCCUAAUGACGUGAUCCAGUUAUCAAGCAACAACACCUUGUUCAUAAUCAGAAGACACUGACUAUCUUCGAUCAACUGGCUAGCCAACUAGAGGCUUGCUAGGGACGUUGUUUUGUCUAUAUAUCCACACAUGUAAACGAGUCUUCAUUCAAUACAAUUAUAGCAUGGAUAAUAAACGAUUAUAUUGAUACAUGAAUUAUAACAAUAACUAUAUUUAUUAUUGCCUCUAGGGCAUAAUUCCAACAACUGUUGGGGAACGUCGCAUGGGAAACAAAAAUUUUCCUACGCGCACGAAGACCUAUCAUGGUGAUGUCCAUCUACGAGAGGGGAUGAGUGACCUACGUACCCUUGUAGACCGUAUAGCAGAAGCGUUGGAGAACACGGUUGAUGUAGUGGAACGUCCUCACGUCCCUCGAUCCGCCCCGUGAACAAUCUCGCGAUCAGUCCCACGAUCUAGUACCGAACAGACGGCACCUCCGCGUUCAGCACACGUACAGCUCGACGAUGAUCUCGGCCUUCUUGAUCCAGCAAGAGAGACGGAGAGGUAGAAGAGUUCUCCGGCAGCGUGACGGUGCUCCUGCAGGUUGGUGAUGACCUUGUCUUAGCAGGGCUCCGCCCGAAAUCCGCAGAAACGCGAUCUAGAGGAAAACCGUGGAGGUAUGUGGUCGGGCUGCCGUGGAAAAGUCGUCUCAAAUCAGCCCUAAAACCUCCGUAUAUAUAGGUGGGACGGCGGGGACCUUGCCUUGGGGCUCAAGGAGCCCCAAGGGGGUCGGCCGAGUCCAAGGGGGAGGACUCUCCCCCCCCAAACCGAGUUGGACUAGGUUUGGUGGGAGGGAGUCCCCCUUCCUUCCCACCUCCUCCUUUUUUUUCUCUCUCUUGAUUUUCUUCUCCUUGGCGCAUAGGGCACUUGUGGGCUGUCCCACCCGCCCACUAAGGGCUGGUGUGUCUCCCCAAAGGCCUAUGGGCUUCCCCGGGGUGGGUUGCCCCCCGGUGAACUCCCGGAACCCAUUCGUCAUUCCCGAUAACUCCGAAAACCUUCCGGUAAUCAAAUGAGGUCAUCCUAUAUAUCAAUCUUCAUUUCCGGACCAUUCCGGAAACCCCCGUAACGUCCGUGAUCUCAUCCGGGACUCCGAACAACAUUCGGUAACCAACCAUAUAACUCAAAUACGCAUAAAACAAUGUCGAACCUUAAGUGCGCAGACCCUGCGGGUUCGAGAACUAUGUAGACAUGACCCGAGAGACUCCUCGGUCAAUAUCCAAUAGCGGGACCUGGAUGCUCAUAUUGGAUCCUACAUAUUCUACGAAGAUCUUAUCGUUUGAACCUCAGUGUCAAGGAUUCAUAUAAUCCUGUAUGUCAUUCCCUUUGUCCUUCGGUAUGUUACUUGCCCGAGAUUCGAUCGUCAGUAUCCGCAUACCUAUUUCAAUCUCGUUUACCGGCAAGUCUCUUUACUCGUUCCGUAAUACAAGAUCCCGCAACUUACACUAAGUUACAUUGCUUGCAAGGCUUGUGUGUGAUGUUGUAUUACCGAGUGGGCCCCGAGAUACCUCUCCGUCACACGGAGUGACAACGGAGUGACAAAUCCCAGUCUUGAUCCAUACUAACUCAACUAACACCUUCGGAGAUACCUGUAGAGCAUCUUUAUAGUCACCCAGUUACGUUGCGACGUUUGAUACACACAAAGCAUUCCUCCGGUGUCAGUGAGUUAUAUGAUCUCAUGGUCAUAGGAAUAAAUACUUGACACGCAGANNNNNNNNNNNNNNNNNNNNNNNNNNNNNNNNNNNNNNNNNNNNNNNNNNNNNNNNNNNNNNNNNNNNNNNNNNNNNNNNNNNNNNNNNNNNNNNNNNNNUAUAGGGCGAAUUCUUCUUGCUACUUCUCUUGUUUGCGUCGGUUUUUCCCUUGAAGAGGAAAGGGUGAUGUAGCACAGGAGCAGUAAGUAUUUCCCUCAGUUUGAGAAACAAGGUAUCAAUCCAGAAGGAGGGUCUCGUCAAGUCCAGAGUACCUGCGCAAACACAAACAAGCUUGCACCCAACGCUUCAAAGGGGUUGUCAAUCCCUUCAAGAUUGUUUGCAAAGUGAGAUCUGAAGGCCGAAAGUGCAAUGAAGUAAAAAGUGUAAGGCUGAAAAUAUGGUGUGGAGUAGACCCUGGGGGCCAUAGUGUUCACUAGGGGCUUCUCUCAUAAUAGAAAAUAUCACGGUGGGUGAACAAAUUACUGUCGAGCAAUUGAUAGAACCGCGCAAAGUCAUGAUGAUAUCUAAGGCAAUGAUCAUACAUAUAGGCAUCAUGUUCGAGACAAGUAGACCGAUACUUUGUGCAUCUACUACUAUUACUCCACACACCGACCGCUAUCCAGCAUGCAUCUAGUGUACUGAGUUCAUGACGAACAAAAUAACGCCUUAAGCAAGAUGACAUGAUGUAGAGGGAUAAUUUCAAACCAAUGAUGAAAACCCCAUCUUUUUACCCGUGAUGGCAACAACACUAUGCGUGCCUCGCUACCCCUUCUGUCACUGGGUGAGGUCACCGCACGGUAUGAACCCAAAAACAAGCACUUCUCCCAUUGCAAGAAUCAUAGAUCUAGUUGGCCAGACAAAACCCACAACUCGAUGAGAAUUACAAGGAUAUGAAAUCAUGCAUAAGAGAGAUCAGAAGAAACUCAAAUAAAAUUCAUAGAUAAUCUGAUCAUAAAUCCACAAUUCAUCGGAUCUAGACAAACACACCGCAAAAGAAGAUUACAUCGGAUAGAUCUCCAUGAAGAUCAUGGAGAACUUUGUAUUGAAGAUCCAAGAGAGAGAAGAAACCAUCUAGCUACUAACUAUGGACCCAUAGGUCUAUGGUGAACUACUCACGUAUCAUCGGAGAGGUCAUGGUGUUGAUGAAGAAGCCCUCCGUAUCCGAAUCCCCCCUCCGGAAGGGCAGCAGAAUGUGCCCCAAAUGGGAUCUUGCGGAGAGAGAAGCUUGCGGCGGCGGAAAAGUACUUUCGAUGAUCUCAUGAUUUUUUAUGGAAUUUUUGGGAAUAUAUAGGCGUGAAACCAAGGGCAAACAAGCAUCAGGGAGCCCACAAGCCAGGGGGGCACGCCAUGAGGGCUUGUGGGGUCCCUGGUGGGUCCCUACCCUGAUUCUCCGGCUUUCCGAUCUUUUUCUGUUCCGGAAAAAAUCUUUUUGGCAGUUUUAUUCCGUUUGGACUCCGUUCAAAAUCCUCCUCUGAAAGGGGUCAAAAACAUGGAAAAAACAGGAACUCGCACUUGGCACUGAGUUAAUAAGUUAGUCCCAAAAAAUAUAUAAAAGGCAUACAAAACAUCCAAAGUUUGACAAGAUAAUAGCAUGAAACCAUAAAAAAUUAUAGAUAAGUUGGGGUCGUAUCAAGCAUCCCCAAGCUUAACUCCUGCUCGUCCUCGAGUAGGAAGUGAUAAAAAUGAAUUUUUUAUGUGGAAUGCUACCUAGCAUAGUUGUCCUUUGCAACUUCUUUCACGUGACAUGAAUGUUCAGAUCCGUAAGAUUAAAAACAAUAGUUUGCUAUUGACAUGAAUACAAUAAUACUUCAAGCAAACUAGCAAGGUAAUCAUGAACUUUCAAAAUAACAAGGCCAAGGAAAGUUAUCCCUACAAAAUCAUAUAGUCUGGCUAUGCUCCAUCAUCCUCACACAACUAAUGUAAAUCAUGCACAACCCCUGUAUUGGCCAAGUAAUUGUUUUCACACUCUUACUUUCUCAAACUUUUUAUAACUGUCACGCAAUACAUGAGGGUGAGCCAUGGAUAUAGCACUAUAGGUGGAAUAGAGUGUGGUGGUGGUUGUGAGACAAAAAGGAGGAGAUGGUCACAUUGACUCGGUGUAUCAAAUGGCUAUGGAGAUGCCCAUUAAUAGAUAUCAAUGUGAAUGAGUCGGGAUUGCCAUACAAGGGAUGCACUAGAGCUAUAAGUAUGUGAAAGCUCAAAAGGAGAACUAGUGGGUGUGUAUCCAACUUGCUUGCUCACGAAGACCUAGGGCAAUUUUGAGGAAGCCCAUCAUUGGAAUAUACAAGACAAGUUAUAUAAUGAAGAUUCUCACUAGCAUAUGAUAGUUACAAAGCAAAAAUCUCUCAAUCAUGAAGAACAUGGUGCUAUUAUGAAGCACAAGUGUGGAAAAGGAUAGUAGCAUUGUCCCUUCUCUCUUUUUCUCUUUUUUUUAUUUGGGAUCUUAGGCCUCUCAUUUUUUUCUCCUUCUUUUAUUUUUGGGAUCUUUGGCCUCUUUUUUUAUUUCCUCACAUGGGACAAUGCUCUAAUAAUGAUGAUCAUCACACUUUUGUUUACUCAUGGCUCAAAGCUUAGAAAUGACUCUAUAGGAAAUGCCUCCGGAAGUAUAACGGGAUGUGCAACGAUCUAGCUUGGCGUAUGACGUUGAAACAUCUCGCUAGCUAUAUUACGAUCAUGCAAUGGGAAUAUGAUAAUGACGGCACAAGUCAUGAGACAGAAUGGUGGGAGUUGCAUGGCAAUAUAUUUCGGAAUGGCUAUGAAAAUGCCAUAGUAGGUAGGUAUGGUGGUUGUUUUGAGGAAGACAUAUGGUGGGUUUGUGUACCGGCGAAAGCUGCGCGGCACUAGAGAGGCUAGCAAUGGUGGAAGGUGAAAGUGCAUCUAUACCAUGGACUCGCAUUAGUCAUGAAGAACUCACAUACUUGUUGCAAAAGUUUUUAUUAGUAAUCGAAACAAAGUGCUAAACGCAUACUCCUAGGGGAAGGGUUGGUAGGUGUUAACCAUCGCGCGAUCCCGACCUCAACACAAAGGAUGACAAUCAAUAGAUAAAUUAUGCUCCGACUUCCUAACAUAGCGGUUCACCAUACGUGCAUGCUACGGGAAUCACUAACUUCAACACAAGUAUUUCUAGAUUCACAACGGCCUACUAACAUAACUCUUAAUAUUACCGAAUCCAAGUCUCAAAAUUAAUUGAGAGGAAUCAAUACUUCUAUUUCUACUCAGUGCAUAUGAAGAUGGAGGUUUCUGUAUCCUCUUUGGGUACCUAUCAACUUUGGGACUACUUUCAUAGCAUAAGCCAACUACCAAGUCACGCACCACCGUGCUCUAAAAGAUAUAAAUGAAGCACAUAGAGGAAAAUUAUCUAGCUCAAAAGAUAUAAGUGAAGCACUGAUACAUCCAUUUUGCAUCAUGCUUUCAUGUUGAUAUUUAUUGCUUUAUGGGCUGUUAUAUUACUUUGUGGUACCAUAUUUAUGCCUUUUCUCUCUUAUUUUGCAAGGUUUAUUUGAACAGGGAGAAUUCAGGCAGAUGGAAUUAUGGACUUGAAAAGGAGCAAAUCUUAGUCCACUAUUCUGCACAUCUCCAAAUGCCCUGAAAAGUUACGUGGAAUUUUUUGGGAUUAUAUAAAAAAUACUGGGCGAAAGAAGUGCCGGAGGGGGGCCACCAGGGCGCCACAAGCCCUGCCACCGCCACCCCUUGGUGGCGGAGGGCAAGCUUGUGGGCUCCCUAACGGCACACUAGCUCCCCUCUUUUGCUAUGUGAAGGGUUUCGUUCCAGAAAAAAAUCAAUCGGGAGCUUUUUCGUGGUUUCGCCGCCGCCACGAGGCAGAACUUGAGGAGAUCCAAUCUAGAGCUCCGACAGGACGAUCCUGUCGGGGAAACUUCUCUCCCGGAGAGGGAAAUCGUCGCCAUCGGCAUCACCAACCCGCCUCUCGUCGGAGGGGAGGCAUCUUCAUCAACAUCUUCAUCAGCACCAUCUCCUCUCCAAUCCCUAGUUCAUGUCUUGUAACCAAUCCUCGUCUCGCGACUUUGAUUGGUACUUGUAAGGUUACUAGUAGUGUUGAUUACUCUUUGUAGUUGAUGCUAGUUGGAUUACUUGGUGGAAGAGUUUAUGUUCAGAUCCUUGAUGCUAUUCAUUACACCUCUGAUCAUGAUUAUGAUUAUGCUUUGUGAGUAGUAACUUUUGUUCCUGAGGACAUGGGAUAAGUCAUGCUGAUAAUAGUCAUGUGAAUUUGAUAUUCGUUCGGUAUCUUGAUAUGUUGUAUGUUGUCUUUUUUCUCUAGUGGUGUUAUGUGAAUGUCGACUACAUAACACUUCACCAUAUUUGGGCCUAGAGGAAGGCAUUGGGGAGUAGUAAGUAGACGAUGGGUUGCUGGAGUGACAGAAGCUUAAACCCCAGUCUAUGCGUUGCUUCGUGAGGGGCUGAUUUGGAUCCACUAGUUUAAUGCUAUGGUUAGACGUUGUCUUAAUUCUUCUUUUGUAGUUGUGGAUGCUUGCGAGAGAGGUUAAUCAUAAGUGGGAUGAUUGUCCAAGUAAGGGCAGUACCCAAGCGCCGGUCCAUCCACAUAUCAAACUAUCAAAGUAACGAACAUGAAUCAUAUGAACAUGAUGAAACUAGCAUGACAGAAAUUCCCGUGUGUCCUCGGGAGCGUUUUUCCUCCUAUAAGACUUUGUUCAGGCUUGUCCCUUGCUACAAAAGGGAUUGGGCCACUUGCUGCACCGUUGCUACUACUUGUUACUUGUUACGUUUCACCUGCUACACCAUCACUUGUUACCGCUACUUUUAGUGCUUGCAGUUAUUACCUUGCUGAAAUCCGUUUAACAGAGCCUUCUGCUCCUCGUUGGGUUCGACACUCUUACUUAUCGAAAGGACUACGAUUGAUCCCCUAUACUUGUGGAUCCGCAAGCUUAGGCUUUUUCGUGUCCUUGAAUUUGGCUUGGGAUGCCUUGGGCAUCCCCAAGCUUGAUCUCUUUCCACUCCUUAUCUCUUUGUCCAUGAGAACAUCACCCAAAACUUGAAAACUUCACAACACAAAACUUAAACAGAAACUUGUGAUAACAUUAGCACAAGAAAACAAACUACCACCUCUUUUGGUACUGUAGCAAACUUGAAUUCUAUCUAUAUUGGUGUUGGGCUACUGUAUACUCACUUUUCCAUGGCUAAUACCCCCCGAUACUAACCAUAGUUUCAUCAAAACAAGCGACCAACUCAACAAAAACAGAAUCUGUCAAAAACAGACCAGUCUGUAGCAAUCUGUAUACUUCGUAUACUUAUGGUACCUCAAAAAUUCUGAAACUUUACGACUAACUGUGAAAAAGGCAUAUGAACCAGCAUAAAAAAGAAUCACCUCAAAAGCUCUUUCUGAAUAAAAAUGAAGAAACAUCUCAUGAGCGAACAUUUUCUGUCUUUUUCCAGCAGGAUGAAACAACCAUUACCAAGACUAUCAUAAAGGUUUUGCUUCGCUCAAACACAAAAAACACAACGACAACAGAAUUGUGAAAGUGUGGAUGCAACAAAACAUAAAGAAAAAGAUAAAUUCAUUGGGUUUCCUCCCAACAUGCGCUAUUGUUUAACGCCCUUAGUUAGGCAUAAAAGCGAUAGAAUCACGUAUCGUCGUCUUUGGUGCUCAAACCAUAAGUGGCCCUCAUCAUGGAUUCAUAAGGCAAUCUUAUUUUUUUCUAGGAAAGUGUUCCAUGCCCUUCCUUAAAGUAAAUUGAAAUCUAAUGUUCCCUUCCUUCAUAUCGAUGAUAGCACCAAUAGUCCUUAGGAAAGGUCUACCAAGAAUAAUAGGGCAUGUAGGAUUGCAAUCAAUGUCAAGCACAAUGAAAUCCAUGGGUACAUAGUUCCUAUUUUCAAUAAUAAGAGCAUCAUUGAUCCUUCCCAUGGGAUUCUUGACAGUAGAAUCCGCAAGAUGCAAAUUAAGAGAACACUCUUCAAUCUCAUUAAAACCCAAAACAUCACAUAAAGACUUUGGAAUCGCGGAAACACUAGCACCCAAAUCACACAAAGCAUUGCAUUCAUAGUUUUUGAUUUUGAUUUUGAUAGUAGGUUCCCACUCGUCAUGAAGCUUUAUAGGGAUAGAGACUUCCAAUUCAAGUUUCUCUUCAAGAGAUUUUAUCAUGGCUUCGACGAUAUGAUCGGUAAAGGCCUUGUUUUGGAUAUAAGCGUGUGGAGAGUUUAACAUGGAUUGCAUCAAGGAAAUGCAUUCAAUCAAGGAGCAAAUAUCAUAAUUGAAUUCCUUGAAAUCCAUGGUAGUAAUUUCAUUACUACUCCAAGUUUUAAUAUCUUCUACUCCACUUUCAAUGCUUUUAGCAUCAAGAUAGAUGGACUCCGAAUCAUUGGGGCACUUUUCAACCAAACUGGAUUCAUAUCCAGUCCCAUAAUCAUUAGGUUUUUCACAAGAAAACAAAGAUUCAAGGGGAGUCACACCAAGCACUUUAAGAUCUUCGUGACUCUUAUCACGAGAACACGCCUUUUUAAGCCAUUCAUGUCUAGCAUGAAUUUGGGCGGUUCUUUCUUUGCUCUCAAUCAUGGAAACAUGCAUAGCUUUCAAAGUGUCAUCCAUAAUGAUCUUGGGAGGAGCACAUCUAACUUUCAAAGCAUCAAUAUCACUAGACAUUCUAUCCACGCUCUUAGCCAAAUCGUCAAUUUUGAGUAGUUUUUCCUCUAUGGACGCAUUGAAUUUUUUUUGUGAGUUGAUAAACUCUUUGAUAUUACUCUCUAGAUCAGAGGGUAAUCUAUUGUAAUUUCCAUGAGUAUUGUUGUAGGAGUUGCCAAAUUUGUUAGAGGAGUUACUAGGAAAAGGCCUUGGAACAUAGUUUCCUCUAAAAGCAUUAUUGUUGCCAAAAUUAUUCCUACCAACAAAAUUAACAUCCAAGCUAGCGUUGCUACUCUCAAUCAAACAAGACAAAGGCAUAUCAUUGGUAUCUAAAGGAGCACUUCUACAAGCAACCAAAUUCAUUAACUCAUCCAACUUAGCACUCAACGAGUUAAUUUCUUCUAUAGCGUGUACCUUCUUACUAGUAGGUGACUCAUACGUCCAUUUUGCAUCAUGUUUUCAUGUUGAUAUUUAUCUCUUUAUGGAUUGUUAUUAUACUUUGUGGAACCAUACUUAUGCCUUUUCUCUCUUAUUUUGCAAGGUUUAUUUGAAGAGGGAGAAUACCGGCAGCUGGAAUUCUGGACUGGAAAAGGAGCAAGUCUGAGUCCUUUAUUCUGCGCAACUCCAAAUGCCCUAAAAAUCAACGUGGAUUUUUUUGGGAAUAUAUAAAAAAUACUGGGCGAAAGAAGUGUCAGAGGGGAGCAUCUAGGGGGCCACAAGCCUGGUUGCCGUGGCCUACCCCCCUGGCCGCCGCAACAGGGCUUGUAGGCACCCUGGUAGCCCAC
Molecule: long non-coding RNA, 11351 nt
Filed under: Hordeum vulgare
Lineage: Eukaryota; Viridiplantae; Streptophyta; Magnoliopsida; Poales; Poaceae
Description: long non-coding RNA (HVUL_LNC003030)
Source: RNAcentral